UCUGAAUCCAGCGAUCCGAGUUCAA
Molecule: non-coding RNA, 25 nt
Filed under: Drosophila melanogaster (fruit fly)
Lineage: Eukaryota; Metazoa; Arthropoda; Insecta; Diptera; Drosophilidae
Also listed under: 3 other names
Source: RNAcentral